CAUGGGAGCAGUUGUUGUCAUAAUCUCACUGGGGUUGCUAUUGGUGGUGAUCUCUUCUGUGGGUACGCUUUUUGGAAGAUGUGUCUGUGAAUUACAUAGUUGGAGCGAAGCAACCUGACUAUCUGGUUACUGCUGAUGAUGUUGAUUCAUACCUUGCCAUUGAAGUAGAGCCCCUUGAUGGCAGGAACAGGAUGGGAUUUCACUUGCACACAUUUAGUAGAUAAAACACCCUCCCCAGUGAUUUUCUAUUCUCAUUUUCAAAAUGUUUCUUGUGGUUAGCUGUUCAAUUUACAUUUGGAACUUCAAACAUUGUUACAGUGAGGCAAAUGCAUUUUAGCGGCUGGCCACAAGGGUAUUUUGAUGCAAACAUCAAUUGGGCCCUCAGUACCACCACUCCUGGAAGAGUAAGUCAUGUAUCCUUGCCGUUUUGUUUUGUUUUGCAGGUCAAGUGGAGCUUGCUGCCGUAGGAGUUUCCAUUGCUGUAUUUAAUCAAGUAUCAAGGGUUCCUAUCUUCAGAGGAUUUUUUUGACGCUACUCGCGUUGGGAGUACCAUAUAGAGGAUUUUUUUUUUAUAUAAAAUUAUUUAAGACCAUUUUCAAUUUAUUAUUAAAAAUAUUAUAAAUAUUUUUUAUUGUGAAGUAAUAUAGAUUUUGUUUAAUAUUUAGUUUAAAUUGUAUUGCAACAUUUUUUAUGUUUCAAAUAUUAAAAAAAAAUACAGGUU
Magnolia sinica is the source of this 721-nucleotide long non-coding RNA. RefSeq lists it as uncharacterized. The record is from RefSeq and is a predicted model, not a curated record. NCBI's taxonomy places the organism in Eukaryota, Viridiplantae, Streptophyta, Magnoliopsida, Magnoliales, Magnoliaceae. The transcript has 3 exons.